Molecule: ribosomal RNA, 1304 nt
Filed under: uncultured fungus
Lineage: Eukaryota; Fungi
Description: eukaryotic LSU rRNA
Rfam family: Eukaryotic large subunit ribosomal RNA (bases 580-1304)
Source: RNAcentral
AAGUCGUAACAAGGUUUCCGUAGGUGAACCUGCGGAAGGAUCAUUACCAAAAGAUAAUCUUUCAACUCGAAAGAUCUUUUCCUUUGUGCUGGCUUUGACCGUAUGUAAUUUUGGGACUUAAACAUGGUAGGCCUUACGGUUUACCGGUCCCAAAAACAAUAUAUCAUCCUUAUGAAAAACUUACUGAACAACUAAACAAUGAUUUUAAUAAUCUGUUUAAAACAACUUUCAACAACGGAUCUCUUGGUUCUCGCAUCGAUGAAGAACGCAGCGAAAUGCGAUACGUAAUGUGAAUUGCAGAAUUCAGUGAAUCAUCGAAUCUUUGAACGCACACUGCACUCCUUGGUAUUCCGAGGAGUAUGCCUGUUUCAGUAUCAUGAGCACUCUCACACCUAACCUUUGGGUUAUGCUGUGGAAUUGGGAUGCGCCGAUUUUUACUAGUCGGCACUCCUAAAAUGUAGCUCUUGGCUGUUUCCUACUACAGCAGUUUGNCCUAAUAGUUUUGACUUUUGUCAAAUCUUUGGCUACAUUUGCUUCUGGAAAUCAGUCUUGAUAAUACAGAAAACUCAUUUCNAACUUUGAUCUGAAAUCAGGUAGGGCUACCCGCUGAACUUAAGCAUAUCANUAAGCGGAGGAAAAGAAACUAGCAAGGAUUCCCCUAGUAACGGCGAGUGAAGCGGGAAGAGCUCAAAUUUAAAAUCUGGCUUGCUUGCAAGUCCGAGUUGUAGUCUGAAGAAACGUUUUCCAUGAAAGCUGAGGCACAAGUCUUUNNGAACAAGGCAUCAUAGAGGGUGAGAAUCCCGUCCAUGNUCUCAUGCNNUUCAUUUUGUGAUACGUUUUCUAAGAGUCAGGUUGUUUGGGAAUGCAGCCUAAAAUGGGUGGUAAAUUUCAUCUAAAGCUAAAUAUUGGCGAGAGACCGAUAGCGAACAAGUACCGUGAGGGAAAGAUGAAAAGAACUUUGAAAAGAGAGUUAAAAAGUACGUGAAAUUGUUGAAAGGGAACCGUUUGAAGCCAGUCUUGCUUACUUGUGAUCAAUCUUAGCUUCGGCUUGGAUGCACUCUCGAGUUAUGCAGGUCAACGUCAGUUUGAGAGGUGAGAAAAAAGUUUGAGGAAUGUGGCCUUCGGGUGUUAUAGCCUCUUACUAAAUAUCAUCUCCUGGACUGAGGCUCGCAGCAAAAAUGUGGGUUGGUUUGCUCCUGAGGUGAAUCAUUAUUAAGACAGCUUGCUGACUUAGUUUUGUGGAUCUUCACGGUAGACCAGCUUCUAAUUUGCUUAGGUCGUUGACAUAAUGGCUUUAAAUGACC